UGCAAGUCGAGCGGACAGAUGGGAGCUUGCUCCCUGAUGUUAGCGGCGGACGGGUGAGUAACACGUGGGUAACCUGCCUGUAAGACUGGGAUAACUCCGGGAAACCGGGGCUAAUACCGGAUGGUUGUUUGAACCGCAUGGUUCAGACAUAAAAGGUGGCUUCGGCUACCACUUACAGAUGGACCCGCGGCGCAUUAGCUAGUUGGUGAGGUAACGGCUCACCAAGGCGACGAUGCGUAGCCGACCUGAGAGGGUGAUCGGCCACACUGGGACUGAGACACGGCCCAGACUCCUACGGGAGGCAGCAGUAGGGAAUCUUCCGCAAUGGACGAAAGUCUGACGGAGCAACGCCGCGUGAGUGAUGAAGGUUUUCGGAUCGUAAAGCUCUGUUGUUAGGGAAGAACAAGUGCCGUUCAAAUAGGGCGGCACCUUGACGGUACCUAACCAGAAAGCCACGGCUAACUACGUGCCAGCAGCCGCGGUAAUACGUAGGUGGCAAGCGUUGUCCGGAAUUAUUGGGCGUAAAGGGCUCGCAGGCGGUUUCUUAAGUCUGAUGUGAAAGCCCCCGGCUCAACCGGGGAGGGUCAUUGGAAACUGGGGAACUUGAGUGCAGAAGAGGAGAGUGGAAUUCCACGUGUAGCGGUGAAAUGCGUAGAGAUGUGGAGGAACACCAGUGGCGAAGGCGACUCUCUGGUCUGUAACUGACGCUGAGGAGCGAAAGCGUGGGGAGCGAACAGGAUUAGAUACCCUGGUAGUCCACGCCGUAAACGAUGAGUGCUAAGUGUUAGGGGGUUUCCGCCCCUUAGUGCUGCAGCUAACGCAUUAAGCACUCCGCCUGGGGAGUACGGUCGCAAGACUGAAACUCAAAGGAAUUGACGGGGGCCCGCACAAGCGGUGGAGCAUGUGGUUUAAUUCGAAGCAACGCGAAGAACCUUACCAGGUCUUGACAUCCUCUGACAAUCCUAGAGAUAGGACGUCCCCUUCGGGGGCAGAGUGACAGGUGGUGCAUGGUUGUCGUCAGCUCGUGUCGUGAGAUGUUGGGUUAAGUCCCGCAACGAGCGCAACCCUUGAUCUUAGUUGCCAGCAUUCAGUUGGGCACUCUAAGGUGACUGCCGGUGACAAACCGGAGGAAGGUGGGGAUGACGUCAAAUCAUCAUGCCCCUUAUGACCUGGGCUACACACGUGCUACAAUGGACAGAACAAAGGGCAGCGAAACCGCGAGGUUAAGCCAAUCCCACAAAUCUGUUCUCAGUUCGGAUCGCAGUCUGCAACUCGACUGCGUGAAGCUGGAAUCGCUAGUAAUCG
RNAcentral lists this ribosomal RNA (1305 nucleotides) under Bacillus velezensis. RNAcentral describes it as "bacterial SSU rRNA". It matches the Rfam family "Bacterial small subunit ribosomal RNA", at positions 56 to 1344 of the family's 1533-position model. The record is from RNAcentral. Lineage: Bacteria; Bacillati; Bacillota; Bacilli; Caryophanales; Bacillaceae.